UAAAAUAAAGUUUUAAUUGAAUAACUUAUUUACAUUAAGUAGGGCUUUUAUCUUAAAGUGUUUUAA
This 66-nucleotide transfer RNA is filed under the name Globipes simplex. Its description in RNAcentral is "tRNA-Val". Lineage: Eukaryota; Metazoa; Arthropoda; Arachnida; Opiliones; Sclerosomatidae. The record is from RNAcentral.